This 72-nucleotide transfer RNA is filed under the name Bos taurus (domestic cattle). It matches the Rfam family "tRNA". From Rfam's summary of the family: Transfer RNA (tRNA) molecules are approximately 80 nucleotides in length. The record is from Rfam by way of RNAcentral. RNAcentral also lists the same sequence under 1 other name. Lineage: Eukaryota; Metazoa; Chordata; Mammalia; Artiodactyla; Bovidae.
UCCCUAAUGGUUCAGUGGUAAAGUAUCUGCCUGCUAACGCAGGAGACUUAGGUUCCAUUCCUGAUUUGGGAA